RNAcentral lists this ribosomal RNA (497 nucleotides) under uncultured bacterium. RNAcentral describes it as "partial 16S ribosomal RNA". It matches the Rfam family "Bacterial small subunit ribosomal RNA", at positions 28 to 507 of the family's 1533-position model. The record is from RNAcentral.
GAUGAACGCUGGCGGCGUGCCUAAUACAUGCAAGUCGAGCGAACAGAUGAGGAGCUUGCUCCUCUGACGUUAGCGGCGGACGGGUGAGUAACACGUGGAUAACCUACCUAUAAGACUGGGAUAACUUCGGGAAACCGGAGCUAAUACCGGAUAAUAUAUUGAACCGCAUGGUUCAAUAGUGAAAGACGGUUUUGCUGUCACUUAUAGAUGGAUCCGCGCCGCAUUAGCUAGUUGGUAAGGUAACGGCUUACCAAGGCAACGAUGCGUAGCCGACCUGAGAGGGUGAUCGGCCACACUGGAACUGAGACACGGUCCAGACUCCUACGGGCGGCAGCAGUAGGGAAUCUUCCGCACUGGGCGAAAGCCUGACGGAGCAACGCCGCGUGAGUGAUGAAGGUCUUCGGAUCGUAAAACUCUGUUAUUAGGGAAGAACAAAUGUGUAAGUAACUAUGCACGUCUUGACGGUACCUAAUCAGAAAGCCACGGCUAACUACGUG